RNAcentral lists this long non-coding RNA (1598 nucleotides) under Setaria viridis. RNAcentral describes it as "long non-coding RNA (SVIR_LNC000873)". Lineage: Eukaryota; Viridiplantae; Streptophyta; Magnoliopsida; Poales; Poaceae. The record is from RNAcentral.
CAUCCAACAGACAAACCAAGAAACUAGGCUACUAGACAUUUCAUUAUUAGCUAGGAUGGCGGCUGCUGGCUGCUGGUAGACUCGUGCUGUCGUGCAGAUGAAUUAACCAAACUCGAUUAGCUUAGCUCAGACAAGACAAGCACAAGAGCACGCGGCAGGGUUCUCGGGAGCACCCAAACACAGGUUAAAUUACUCCAAAGCGACCAGCCAACCCCCCCGGAUUAAGCUAAAGCCGCCCCCACCCAACCCGUGUCACCUUUUCAAAUCCCCACCUCCAAACCAUUGGCGCCUCCGAUCCCCCUCGCCUCACCAUGACGGCACGACACGACACCUCUUCAAAAUCAUACCCAGUUGCCCUCCUCCAUUUUCACUGCCGCCUGUGCUUUGCAGACACACCGCACAGCCAUUGAGUAGCCUACAUUUUCUUGCGGGAUGCCACCGCUCGACCUCGACACCCUCGUCUCGUGCGAUGGCGUAGGCGGCGGUGACGCCGAGUUGAAGGCCGCGUGUGGUUGCGACGCCGCGCUGUCCGACGGCUCUGGCACCGAAAAGCGCGACGAUGACGACCCGUACGCCCCCGCGCAGUCCCUCCGGCUGAGGAUCGGGGAGGACAUCGAGUGGAGCGACGUAGUCGGCGCCGCAGCGGUGCUGGAGCGGGACGACUCCACCAAGGGCGCCGGCGCCAACCCCAAGUGCGCCGCGCGCAGGAGCGUGGCGGCCGCCGCCGCCGCGAGGGGCUCGCUGCCGCCCGCCCCGGCGCCGAGGGCGGUGGCCGUGGUCAUUGGCGGGCUGCCGGGCAAGGUCGCGCGGGAGCACGGCGGGCGGGGGCGCUCCCCGCGCCGGCUCGGCGGCCGCGCAAGGAGGGUGUUCGCGGCCGGGGAGGCGGCCGCGGACCGGCUGGCGGAGCCCGGGUCGCCCGAGGUAUCCUGCCUCGGGGGCGUCCGGUCGCAGCCGCGUGCCGCGGCUGAGGGGUUCAGCAGUGGCCGCCGGUGGUGGGCGUGGCUGGUGGCCGACGUCGCGUCCUGCUGCUGGAACGACCGGCGCGAGAGGAGGCGGCCGAGGGGGAGCGAAGCCGACUAGCGACGGUACGGCAGUGGCCGGUGGCGGCGUCACCACCUGUGCUGGCCGCGCGGACGUGGCAUCGGGGCAUCGGAUCACCAGAUCGAUUUGGUGGAGUAGGUCGGGCCUGUCACGUAGUGUCGGCCACAUGCAGAUUUUCGUCUUCUUCUAGUUAGCUCUGGAUUGUUUGUGGCUCUCUCUCUCUGCUCUGUUCAUGGUCGGCCCGGCCGGAGUAGCUCGUGCCUUUCCUGUACAUGGGACCUUCACCAGGUGUUCAAUUUGAAUUUAAACUUUGUCAUGGCCCUCUGCCUCGCUGCGUGUCCACUGUCAAAGCCGAAGGCACCUUGUUUUUUUGGAUCCAGAUUGCUGAGUAAUGCUAUUUGUUCACUGAUUUGGAGCUUUUGUUGAUGAGCAGCCUGUGUUUGUUGGGAAUGUCCUCGUAUGGACGUAUGGUAUUUGUCCUAGUUGAUUGUGUUCGUGACCGUGAUUACUGAUCGUCCUGAGUAAUCGGAUGAUGUAUGCCGCGGUUCAAGCGAGUC